Molecule: long non-coding RNA, 201 nt
Organism: Pristis pectinata (smalltooth sawfish)
Lineage: Eukaryota; Metazoa; Chordata; Chondrichthyes; Rhinopristiformes; Pristidae
Exons: 3
Source: RefSeq, a predicted model, not a curated record
CCGCCGGGAACCAGCGUGCUCAUCCGGAUGCUUCCUAACUGAGAAAGAAAGGACUGCAGAUGCUGGAAUCUAGAUGAAAAACACGAUGAUGCUGGAGGAACUCAGCAGGCCAGGCAGCAUCCGCGGAGAAAAGCAGGCAGUCAACGUUUCGGUUGUUGGGUUCUGAUAAAGAAUGGAAGCAAACAAUAGAAUGCAAAUCCC